Long non-coding RNA from Erigeron canadensis, 280 nucleotides. RefSeq lists it as uncharacterized. The record is from RefSeq and is a predicted model, not a curated record. The transcript is spliced from 2 exons. NCBI's taxonomy places the organism in Eukaryota, Viridiplantae, Streptophyta, Magnoliopsida, Asterales, Asteraceae.
AUGCGGUCUUCUUGAUUUAUGAUUUUGGUUUUCGCGGAGGAGGUUGUCCCAGUUGUGGAAACAAAGCUAAAUAACAUAAAGAUUGAAGUUGAAUUUGUAAAGCUUGAAGCAUACCAUAAAUGCGUAUAAUGGUAAUGUUGAUUGGACCCGUAGAGACCCCUUUGAACUAUGGCUCAUGAUACAUUGAUUGUUUUGGUAUAAUUAUUCAUUUUUGUCAAAUGUAAGAAAUAAGAAGUUUCGGUUGGUUUGUAUAAAUGGAUGGUAUGGAGACUUUUGGAAA